Molecule: long non-coding RNA, 731 nt
Filed under: Nicotiana tabacum (common tobacco)
Lineage: Eukaryota; Viridiplantae; Streptophyta; Magnoliopsida; Solanales; Solanaceae
Description: long non-coding RNA (NTAB_LNC007848)
Source: RNAcentral
UUUGAAAUGGGGUUUGGACCACUAGGAACUUCAUGAGCACUAGCAUUCAAUAAUUUGUCUCUCCAUAAGUAGGAUGGCGAUUGAUGAGCUUUAGGGUACUCAUGUUUACCUCUUCUACCCAUAAUUGGAGAAUAUUGAACUUUUUUACUAGCAAUUUGAUCUUCUCUCAGUUUCUUCUUGACAGCAUAAUGAUCUACUGAUGAAUGAUAAUUAACUCGUAAAAGAUUCGGUUGUAGUUGUCCGUCUUCUGCCAUAACAGUGAGAAGUAGAAAGAAGAAGAGAGUAAGUAGUGAGGCAAUAUUGUAAGGAGAAAUGAAAGAAGAAGAAGUAGUAGUCAUUUUACAGGAGAGAAGCUAGAAAGCCAUCCUUAACCAUAAACAAGUACAAAAAUACAAGAAGAUCAACUAUUCAACACUAGAUGUCUUCGACGAACAAAGAUAUUGCAUGUGUGGGCUUUAUUGUUGAUAACAAGAGGGGCUAACCAUGUGAAAACCCUAAAAAAAAGAAAGCAGAACUAGCUAGCUUAAACUAGUUUGAAAAAUUAGGGAUGUAACUUUAGGAGAUGUAGUUCAAAGAUAAAACGCAUGGAGAAAGAAAGAGGAAAUAAAAGAGAGAGAAAAAAGAGAAUCUUGAAAGAGAUAAAGUGGGAAAGGGAGUUAUGAAUUAUAUUACUUUAUCAAUGUCUGGUGACCUUGAAAGAUUACAGAAAGAGAGAUGGAAGGAGAGAGAGG